GCUCAAAAUGUAAAAACAGCUGAAGAGCUUGGAAUGCAACCUGCAAAAAUUAACACACCAGCAUCACUUUCAGGAUCUCAGGCUUCUUGGACCUUAAGAGUUCACGUGGGAGCAAAUCAAGAUGAGGCGAUUGCUGUAAAUAUUUAUGCAGCUAAUGUUGCAAAUCUGUUUUCUGGUGAGGGAGCUCAAACUGCUCAGGCUACACCUGUUCAAGAAGGUGCUCAACAGGAAGGAGCUCAACAGCCAGCACCUGUCGCACCUUCACAUGUGGAGUUAAUUCUCCUGUUAAUGUUACAACUACAGUUGAUGCUAAUACAUCACUUGCUAAGAUAGAAAAUGCUAUUAGAAUGAUAAGCGAUCAAAGAGCAAAUUUAGGUGCUUUCCAAAAUAGACUUGAAUCUAUAAAGAAUAGUACUGAGUAAUGCAAUUAUUACCUUAUUUUAAAUAUGAACCCAAAAUUUUUGUGAACACAUGUGCUUGUGNUUAUAUUGGAGCUUGCUCAACACUCUGUUAAUAUAACCGGAAUCUCUUUUCUUANUUAUGAAUAAAACCUGCCAAAAAAAUAGG
Molecule: unclassified non-coding RNA, 567 nt
Filed under: Borreliella valaisiana
Lineage: Bacteria; Pseudomonadati; Spirochaetota; Spirochaetia; Spirochaetales; Borreliaceae
Description: partial may contain 16S ribosomal RNA and 16S-23S ribosomal RNA intergenic spacer
Source: RNAcentral